This is a transfer RNA of Felis catus (domestic cat), 85 nucleotides long. It matches the Rfam family "tRNA". From Rfam's summary of the family: Transfer RNA (tRNA) molecules are approximately 80 nucleotides in length. Their secondary structure includes four short double-helical elements and three loops (D, anti-codon, and T loops). NCBI's taxonomy places the organism in Eukaryota, Metazoa, Chordata, Mammalia, Carnivora, Felidae. The record is from Rfam.
GCCUGGGUGGCUCAGUCGGUUGAGCAUCCGACUUCGGCUCAGGUCAUGAUCUCGCAGUUUGUGGGUUUGAGCCCCGUAUCGGGCU